UGGAUUAGAUAGAACUUUAUUAAUCCUUGGGAAGAAUCCCUCAGGGAAGUUGAGGUUCCAGCAGCAUUGUAUAGCAGCACACAGGAUAAGAAGCACACAGAGUAUCAAAAGUGAAAGUCAAAAAGAAAAACAAUUUGCAAUAAUCAUGAAGUUCUUGU
This is a long non-coding RNA of Thalassophryne amazonica, 158 nucleotides long. RefSeq lists it as uncharacterized. The record is from RefSeq and is a predicted model, not a curated record. NCBI's taxonomy places the organism in Eukaryota, Metazoa, Chordata, Actinopteri, Batrachoidiformes, Batrachoididae. The transcript has 3 exons.